This 261-nucleotide ribosomal RNA is filed under the name uncultured bacterium. RNAcentral describes it as "partial 16S ribosomal RNA". It matches the Rfam family "Bacterial small subunit ribosomal RNA", at positions 333 to 611 of the family's 1533-position model. The record is from RNAcentral.
GUAGGCCUACGGGGCGCAGCAGUGGGGAAUAUUGCACAAUGGGGGGAACCCUGAUGCAGCGACGCCGCGUGGGUGAAGGAGCACCUCGGUGCGUAAAGCCCUAUCGGCAGGGAAGAAACAGAAGGUACCUGACUAAGAAGCCCCGGCUAACUACGUGCCAGCAGCCGCGGUAAUACGUAGGGGGCAAGCGUUAUCCGGAUUCACUGGGGGUAAAGGGAGCGUAGACGGCGACGAAAGUCUGGAGUGAAAGCCCGGGGCCCA